This 72-nucleotide transfer RNA is filed under the name Stegodyphus mimosarum. It matches the Rfam family "tRNA". Rfam says of the family: Transfer RNA (tRNA) molecules are approximately 80 nucleotides in length. Their secondary structure includes four short double-helical elements and three loops (D, anti-codon, and T loops). Lineage: Eukaryota; Metazoa; Arthropoda; Arachnida; Araneae; Eresidae. The record is from Rfam by way of RNAcentral.
GCCUUCGUGGUGUAGUGGUCAGCACACUCGGCCGUAUUCGGGAGGCCCGUGAUUCGAAUCCCGGAGAGGGCA